Molecule: ribosomal RNA, 471 nt
Filed under: uncultured bacterium
Lineage: Bacteria
Description: bacterial SSU rRNA
Rfam family: Bacterial small subunit ribosomal RNA
Source: RNAcentral
UUGCCAGACUCCUACGGGAGGCAGCAGUGAGGAAUAUUGGUCAAUGGGCGGAAGCCUGAACCAGCCAAGUCGCGUGAGGGAAGAAGGCCCUGCGGGUCGCAGACCUCUUUGGACGGGGAGCAAGGCCGCCGACGUGUCGGCGGAAGGAGAGCACCCGUAGAACAAGCAUCGGCUAACUCCGUGCCAGCAGCCGCGGUAAUACGGAGGAUCCGAGCGUUAUCCGGAUUCAUUGGGUUUAAAGGGUGCGUAGGUUGUUUUAUAAGUUAGCGGUGAAAUACCGAUGCUCAACAUCGGGGCUGCCGCUAAUACUGUAGGACUAGAGAUCGGAUGCAGCAGGCGGAAUGUGUAGUGUAGCGGUGAAAUGCAUAGAUAUUACACAGAACACCGAUUGCGAAGGCAGCUUGCUAGGCCGGAUCUGACACUGAUGCACGAAAGCGUGGGGAUCGAACAGGAUUAGAUACCCUCGUAGAC